UUCCGGUUGAUCCUGCCAGAGGUCACUGCUAUCGGGGUUCGAUUAAGCCAUGCGAGUCGAGAGGGUUCGGCCCUCGGCGUACUGCUCAGUAACACGUGGAUAACCUGCCCUAAGGAAGGGGAUAACCCCGGGAAACUGGGGAUAAUACCCUAUAGGUUACAGAUGCUGGAAUGCUCUGUAACCGAAAGCCCCGGCGCCUUAGGAUGGAUCUGCGGCCGAUUAGGUUGUUGUCGGGGUAACGGCCCAACAAGCCAGUAAUCGGUACGGGUUGUGGGAGCAAGAGCCCGGAGUUGGAUUCUGAGACACGAAUCCAGGCCCUACGGGGCGCAGCAGGCGCGAAAACUUUACAAUGCGGGCAACCGUGAUAAGGGAACCUCGAGUGCCUGUAUAUGCAGGCUGUCUGGGUGUCUAAAACACACCUAAAGAAAGGGCCGGGCAAGACCGGUGCCAGCCGCCGCGGUAAUACCGGCGGCUCGAGUGGUGGCCACUUUUAUUGGGCUUAAAGCGUUCGUAGCUGGGUUAUUAAGUCCCUUGGGAAAUCCGACGGCUUAACCGUCGGGCGUCUAAGGGAUACUGGUAAUCUUGGAACCGGGAGAGGUGAGGGGUACUUCGGGGGUAGGAGUGAAAUCCUGUAAUCCUCGAGGGACCACCUGUGGCGAAGGCGCCUCACCAGAACGGCUUCGACAGUGAGGGACGAAAGCUGGGGGAGCAAACCGGAUUAGAUACCCGGGUAGUCCCAGCCGUAAACGAUGUGCGUUAGGUGUAUCGGUGACCACGAGUCACCGAGGUGCCGAAGGGAAACCGUGAAACGUACCGCCUGGGAAGUACGGUCGCAAGGCUGAAACUUAAAGGAAUUGGCGGG
RNAcentral lists this ribosomal RNA (862 nucleotides) under uncultured Methanoculleus sp. RNAcentral's name for it is "bacterial SSU rRNA". It matches the Rfam family "Archaeal small subunit ribosomal RNA", at positions 1 to 872 of the family's 1478-position model. The record is from RNAcentral. Lineage: Archaea; Methanobacteriati; Methanobacteriota; Methanomicrobia; Methanomicrobiales; Methanomicrobiaceae.